RNAcentral lists this ribosomal RNA (444 nucleotides) under uncultured bacterium. Its description in RNAcentral is "SSU rRNA". It matches the Rfam family "Bacterial small subunit ribosomal RNA", at positions 26 to 518 of the family's 1533-position model. The record is from RNAcentral.
AGAACGAACGCUGGCGGCAUGCCUAACACAUGCAAGUCGAACGAGACCUUCGGGUCUAGUGGCGCACGGGUGCGUAACGCGUGGGAAUCUGCCCUUGGGUACGGAAUAACAGUUAGAAAUGACUGCUAAUACCGUAUAAUGACUUCGGUCCAAAGAUUUAUCGCCCAGGGAUGAGCCCGCGUCGGAUUAGCUAGUUGGUAGGGUAAAAGCCUACCAAGGCGACGAUCCGUAGCUGGUCUGAGAGGAUGAUCAGCCACACUGGGACUGAGACACGGCCCAGACUCCUACGGGAGGCAGCAGUGGGGAAUAUUGGACAAUGGGCGAAAGCCUGAUCCAGCAAUGCCGCGUGAGUGAUGAAGGCCUUAGGGUUGUAAAGCUCUUUUACCCGGGAUGAUAAUGACAGUACCGGAGAAUAAGCCCGGCUAACUCCGUGCCAGCAGCCGC